This 433-nucleotide ribosomal RNA is filed under the name uncultured bacterium. RNAcentral describes it as "partial 16S ribosomal RNA". It matches the Rfam family "Bacterial small subunit ribosomal RNA", at positions 29 to 507 of the family's 1533-position model. The record is from RNAcentral.
AACGAACGCUGGCGGCAGGCCUAACACAUGCAAGUCGAGCGCGCCCUUCGGGGUGAGCGGCGGACGGGUGAGUAACGCGUGGGAACGUGCCCUUUUCUACGGAAUAGCCUCGGGAAACGGAGAGUAAUACCGUAUACGCCCUUUGGGGGGAAGAUUUAUCGGAAAAGGAUCGGCCCGCGUUGGAUUAGGUAGUUGGUGGGGUAAUGGCCUCCCAAGCCGACGAUCCAUAGCUGGUUUGAGAGGAUGAUCAGCCACACUGGGACUGAGACACGGCCCAGACUCCUACGGGAGGCAGCAGUGGGGAAUCUUAGACAAUGGCGGCAACCCUGAUCUAGCCAUGCCGCGUGAGUGAUGAAGGCCUUAGGGUUGUAAAGCUCUUUCAGCUGGGAAGAUAAUGACGGUACCAGCAGAAGAAGCCCCGGCUAACUCCGUG